RNAcentral lists this ribosomal RNA (190 nucleotides) under Accumulibacter sp. Its description in RNAcentral is "partial 23S ribosomal RNA". It matches the Rfam family "Bacterial large subunit ribosomal RNA", at positions 2752 to 2925 of the family's 2925-position model. The record is from RNAcentral. Lineage: Bacteria; Pseudomonadati; Pseudomonadota; Betaproteobacteria.
AGUUGUGAAAAGAUAAACGCUGAAAGCAUCUAAGCGUUAAACUCGCCUUAAGAUGAGAUUUGCCCGGGGACUCGAUCCCCCUAAAGGGUCGUGGUAGACCACCACGUUGAUAGGCUGGAUGUGGAAGCGCAGCAAUGCGUUAAGCUAACCAGUACUAAUCGCCCGUGCGGCUUGAUCCUAUAACCUUGCG